CCUACGGGUGGCAGCAGUGAGGAAUAUUGGUCAAUGGGCGCGAGCCUGAACCAGCCAAGUCGCGUGAGGGAAGACGGUCCUAUGGAUUGUAAACCUCUUUUGUCGGGGAGCAAAAGACGCCACGUGUGGCGUUCCGAGAGUACCCGAAGAAAAAGCAUCGGCUAACUCCGUGCCAGCAGCCGCGGUAAUACGGAGGAUGCGAGCGUUAUCCGGUUUUAUUGGGUUUAAAGGGUGCGCAGGAGGAAGUUAAAGUCAGCGGUAAAAUUGAGGGGCUCAACCUCUUCGAGCCGUUGAAACUGGUUUGUUGGAGGGAGAGAUAGGUAGGGGAAAGGGGGGGGGGAGGGGAGAAAUGCAUAUA
RNAcentral lists this ribosomal RNA (358 nucleotides) under uncultured bacterium. RNAcentral describes it as "partial 16S ribosomal RNA". It matches the Rfam family "Bacterial small subunit ribosomal RNA", at positions 338 to 694 of the family's 1533-position model. The record is from RNAcentral.